Molecule: long non-coding RNA, 603 nt
Filed under: Panax ginseng (ginseng)
Lineage: Eukaryota; Viridiplantae; Streptophyta; Magnoliopsida; Apiales; Araliaceae
Description: long non-coding RNA (PGIN_LNC008337)
Source: RNAcentral
GUUAGGUUUUGUGAAAAUCAAAGUAGUAAUCAAAUUGCAAAAAUUAGCGGAAGCGUAAUAAAAUCAGAUUUUAAAAUUUUUCACAAACCAUUUACCCGGAUUAUCCUUUAUGCAUAUUAUUAAUUAAAACGAAGAACAAGAAGUUAUGGAAUUAUACCCUUAUAGAAACGAGCUUCCACAUGUACGAGUUCAACUCCUACUUCUCCGCGAUCUCCUUGAAUCUCCGGGUAGAUUCUUUCCUUUGAUCAAUAUUAGCCACCCAAGUGUGUGGCCUCUAGAGGUGAUCCACCAAGGAAGAUUAAUUUUCAAGAAGAAGGGUGUAUUGGCUCAAACCCUAAUUUUUUCUAUCUCUAUAAAAAAAGGGGGCGUACUCUCCAACAAUUUGAAUUACGUAUAUCUGAUAUCUGAUAUAGGACUCCUCUUAUAAAGAUAUCAGGUAACCCUAUUUUAAUUAAAAUAAGGUAUUAUUUAUUUAAUUAAACUCUUUUAAUUAAAUGGGCUCCCUAAUCUUAUUAGGGAUAAUUAAUUAAACUCCUUUAACUAAUUUUCCCUCCUAAUUCUAUUAGGAAUAAAUGAGCGUACUUAUAUUAAAUUAAUUCCUAA